This 301-nucleotide ribosomal RNA is filed under the name uncultured bacterium. RNAcentral's name for it is "partial 16S ribosomal RNA". It matches the Rfam family "Bacterial small subunit ribosomal RNA", at positions 509 to 807 of the family's 1533-position model. The record is from RNAcentral.
CAGUAGCCGCGGUAAUACGAGGGGGGCAAGCGUUGUUCGGAAUUACUGUGCGUAAAGCGUGCGCAGGCGGUUUUGUAAGACAGGCGUGAAAUCCCCGGGCUCAACCUGGGAAUGGCGCUUGUGACUGCAAAGCUAGAGUGCGGCAGAGGGGGAUGGAAUUCCGCGUGUAGCAGUUAAAUGCGUAGAUAUGCGGAGGAACACCGAUGGCGAAGGCAAUCCCCUGGGCCUGCACUGACGCUCAUGCACGAAAGCGUGGGGAGCAAACAGGAUUAGAUACCCCCGUAGUCCCUGUCUCUUAUAC